Molecule: unclassified non-coding RNA, 723 nt
Filed under: Bactrocera tryoni
Lineage: Eukaryota; Metazoa; Arthropoda; Insecta; Diptera; Tephritidae
Description: probable serine/threonine-protein kinase DDB_G0271682, transcript variant X6
Source: RNAcentral
AGUAAAAAAAUAAAUAAAGUGAAUCCUUCAGCCUGGAAGUUAUAUGAAGAAUAUUUUGCAGGCAACAAUAUUUUGAAUAGUGUUAAUGAAUUAACUCGGAUAUAGUCUUUUUAAGACAAUAAAAUGGUACUGCGUUCGGGUAUAAUAAUUCCUUUUCAAUUUCGUGACAGUAAGAAACUUCUAAUGAUUGGAGUGCCUGAAGAGAACCGCAAUUUGAACAUCUGGGACUUGAGAAAUGUUGUGAGAGCUGCAUUUGGAAUUUAUAACUUUGAAUUUCGAAAUAAAAAGAUUGGAUUCAACAUACCGGAUGAGCUGCUUUUGCAUUAUUUGGCGCAACGCCAUGAUCUAACCAAUUUCGUUAUAGAAAUUGGACAAGGUUCAACAUAUACUAUAAUAAGAUAAGGACAUCUAAAAUUUUAGGAGCUAAAGCUAGGUGCCCAAAACAAACAUUCACAUAAUUGUAGUUCAUGAUUGCUUUAAGGUAGCACAAAAACGGUUCCCAAAAUAUUAAUCCUUGCUGGUUACGUAGAGGAAAAUGUCGUGAGAUUAAUUUUAGAAUCCAAUUAUGAUUGCGUUAAUUUCAACUAAAUAAUCAUAAAAGCUUCACGAUCACCGUACUGCACUUGCCUCUACUAAUCUAAAUGACAUACCAGAUAAUGGCAUUGCUGACUCGUCUUGUGCAGAGAACUUUAUUCCUGCAGACAUUUCCUUACAAUUACAUGA